UACGGAGGGGGCUAGCGUUGUUCGGAAUUACUGGGCGUAAAGCGCACGUAGGCGGCUUUGUAAGUUAGAGGUGAAAGCCCGGGGCUCAACUCCGGAAUUGCCUUUAAGACUGCAUCGCUAGGAAUUGUGGAGAGGUAAGUGGAAUUCCGAGUGUAGAGGUGAAAUUCGUAGAUAUUCGGAAGAACACCAGUGGCGAAGGCGGACUUACUGGACACAUAUUGACGCUGAGGUGGCGAAAGCGUGGGGAGCAAACAGG
Molecule: ribosomal RNA, 256 nt
Filed under: uncultured bacterium
Lineage: Bacteria
Description: partial 16S ribosomal RNA
Rfam family: Bacterial small subunit ribosomal RNA
Source: RNAcentral